Helicoverpa zea (corn earworm) is the source of this 447-nucleotide long non-coding RNA. RefSeq lists it as uncharacterized. NCBI's taxonomy places the organism in Eukaryota, Metazoa, Arthropoda, Insecta, Lepidoptera, Noctuidae. The transcript has 3 exons. The record is from RefSeq and is a predicted model, not a curated record.
UUAAAAACGGACACACACAAUAACAAUUAUAUUAUUUCCAGGAAUUUGAUGUAGAUAUCUACGAUGAAACGUACGCGAUUCCGAGAGCUAUCCUCAGACUGGUGGGACUUCGAAUCACCAGAGAUGAUUCACCAACUGUCAGGUUGCUAUGGAACAUCUUCUACUGGUUCGAGUUCGCGAACCUGUUCAUCGUGACGUGGCUGGAGCUGAUCAAGAUGGCGCAGACGGCUCGAGGCGGCUCCUUCCAGGAUGCUAUAGAGAUAUUCUGCAUGAUGCCUUGCGUUGGAUAUCUGCUACUUGCCAUGGCGAAAUCCUACAAGAUUGUUUACCACCGCUCCGUCUACGAGAACCUGAUCGAAGAGUUGCGGAGUAUGUGGCCGCGGGGGGAGGUGUCGGAUGAGGAGCAUCAGAUCCUCAGCACGGCGCUCAGACACCUCAACUAUGUUA